RNAcentral lists this ribosomal RNA (465 nucleotides) under uncultured bacterium. RNAcentral describes it as "partial 16S ribosomal RNA". It matches the Rfam family "Bacterial small subunit ribosomal RNA", at positions 338 to 795 of the family's 1533-position model. The record is from RNAcentral.
CCUACGGGUGGCAGCAGUAGGGAAUUUUCGUCAAUGGGCGCAAGCCUGAACGAGCGAUGCCGCGUGAGUGAAGAAGACCUUCGGGUCGUAAAGCUCUGUUGCGGGGGAAAAAAAUUAGCAUAAGGAAAUGGUUGCUGACUGACGGUACCCUGCCAGAAAGCCAAGGCUAACUACGUGCCAGCAGCCGCGGUAAUACGUAGGUGGCGAGCGUUAUCCGGAAUGAUUGGGCGUGAAGGGUGCGCAGGCGGUCCUGCAAGUCUGGAGUGAAAUGCCUGAGCCUAACCCAGGCAUGGCUUUGGAAACUGGAGGACUGGAGUGCGGGGGAGGGAGGUGGAAUUCCAGGUGUAGCGGUGAAAUGCGUAGAUAUAUGGAAGAACACCAGUGGCGAAGGCAGCCUACUGGCCUGUUGCUGACGCUGAGGCACGAAAGCGUGGGGAGCAAACAGGAUUAGAUACCCGGGUAGUC